CAGUCGCCGCGGGAAUACGGAGGGUGCAAGCGUUAAUCGGAAUUACUGGGCGUAAAGCGCACGCAGGCGGUCUGACAAGUCAGAUGUGAAAUCCCCGGGCUUAACCUGGGAACUGCAUUUGAAACUGUCAGGCUGGAGUCUUGUAGAGGGGGGUAGAAUUCCAGGUGUAGCGGUGAAAUGCGUAGAGAUCUGGAGGAAUACCGGUGGCGAAGGCGGCCCCCUGGACAAAGACUGACGCUCAGGUGCGAAAGCGUGGGGAGCAAACAGGAUUAGAGACCCGAGUAGUCCCUGUCUCUUAUAC
This 301-nucleotide ribosomal RNA is filed under the name uncultured bacterium. RNAcentral's name for it is "partial 16S ribosomal RNA". It matches the Rfam family "Bacterial small subunit ribosomal RNA", at positions 509 to 807 of the family's 1533-position model. The record is from RNAcentral.